RNAcentral lists this ribosomal RNA (301 nucleotides) under uncultured bacterium. Its description in RNAcentral is "partial 16S ribosomal RNA". It matches the Rfam family "Bacterial small subunit ribosomal RNA", at positions 509 to 807 of the family's 1533-position model. The record is from RNAcentral.
CAGCAGCCGCGGUAAUACGUAGGGUGCAAGCGUUAAUCGGAAUUACUGGGCGUAAAGCGUGCGCAGGCGGUCCGUUAAGACAGAUGUGAAAUCCUUGGGCUUAACCUGGGAACUGCAUUUGUGACUGGCGGGCUAGAGUAUGGCAGAGGGGGGUAGAAUUCCACGUGUAGCAGUGAAAUGCGUAGAGAUGUGGAGGAAUACCGAUGGCGAAGGCAGCCCCCUGGGCCAAUACUGACGCUCAUGCACGAAAGCGUGGGGAGCAAACAGGAUUAGAUACCCGCGUAGUCCCUGUCUCUUAUAC